Molecule: transfer RNA, 85 nt
Filed under: Felis catus (domestic cat)
Lineage: Eukaryota; Metazoa; Chordata; Mammalia; Carnivora; Felidae
Also listed under: 2 other names
Rfam family: tRNA
About the family: Transfer RNA (tRNA) molecules are approximately 80 nucleotides in length. Their secondary structure includes four short double-helical elements and three loops (D, anti-codon, and T loops).
Source: Rfam by way of RNAcentral
ACCUGGGUGGCUCAGUCGGUUGAGUGUCUGACUUCAGCUUAGGUCAUGAUCUCACAGCUCGUGGGUUCGAGCCCCGCUUCGGGCU